UGCAAGUCGAGCGGACAGAUGGGAGCUUGCUCCCUGAUGUUAGCGGCGGACGGGUGAGUAACACGUGGGUAACCUGCCUGUAAGACUGGGAUAACUCCGGGAAACCGGGGCUAAUACCGGAUGCUUGAUUGAACCGCAUGGUUCAAUUAUAAAAGGUGGCUUUUAGCUACCACUUACAGAUGGACCCGCGGCGCAUUACCUAGUUGGUGAGGUAACGGCUCACCAAGGCAACAAUGCGUAGCCAACCUGAGAGGGUGAUCGGCCACACUGGGACUGAAACACGGCCCAAACUCCUACGGGAGGCAGCAGUAGGGAAUCUUCCGCAAUGGACAAAAGUCUGACGGACCAACGCCGCGUGAGUGAUGAAGGUUUUCGGAUCGUAAAACUCUGUUGUUAGGGAAAAACAAGUACCGUUCGAAUAGGGCGGUACCUUGACGGUACCUAACCAAAAAGCCACGGCUAACUACGUGCCAGCAGCCGCGGUAAUACGUAGGUGGCAAGCGUUGUCCGGAAUUAUUGGGCGUAAAGCGCGCGCAGGCGGUUUCUUAAGUCUGAUGUGAAAGCCCCCGGCUCAACCGGGGAGGGUCAUUGGAAACUGGGGAACUUGAGUGCAGAAGAGGAGAGUGGAAUUCCACGUGUAGCGGUGAAAUGCGUAGAGAUGUGGAGGAACACCAGUGGCGAAGGCGACUCUCUGGUCUGUAACUGACGCUGAG
RNAcentral lists this ribosomal RNA (713 nucleotides) under Bacillus licheniformis. RNAcentral's name for it is "bacterial SSU rRNA". It matches the Rfam family "Bacterial small subunit ribosomal RNA", at positions 56 to 750 of the family's 1533-position model. Lineage: Bacteria; Bacillati; Bacillota; Bacilli; Caryophanales; Bacillaceae. The record is from RNAcentral.